RNAcentral lists this ribosomal RNA (274 nucleotides) under uncultured bacterium. Its description in RNAcentral is "partial 16S ribosomal RNA". It matches the Rfam family "Bacterial small subunit ribosomal RNA", at positions 523 to 796 of the family's 1533-position model. The record is from RNAcentral.
AUACAGAGGGUGCAAGCGUUGUUCGGAAUUACUGGGCGUAAAGAGUUCGUAGGCUGUAUUGAGAGUCAUCGGUGAAAUCCCAAAGCUCAACUUUGGAAUUGCCUGUGAGACCUCAGUACUAGAGUAUGGAAGGGGCUGGUGGAAUUCCAUGUGUAGCGGUGAAAUGCGUAGAUAUGUGGAGGAACAUCUGUGGCGAAGGCGACUGGCUGGUCCAUUACUGACGCUGAGGAACGAAAGCGUGGGGAGCAAACAGGAUUAGAUACCCGAGUAGUCC